UGGGGAAUUUUGCACAAUGGGGGAAACCCUGAUGCAGCGACGCCGCGUGAUUUAGAAGGCCUUCGGGUUGUAAAAAUCUUUUCUAUGGGAAGAAAAUGACAGUACCAUAGGAAUAAGGACCGGCUAAUUACGUGCCAGCAGCCGCGGUAAUACGUAAGGUCCGAGCGUUGUCCGGAAUCAUUGGGCGUAAAGGGUACGUAGGCGGGUAAGCAAGUUAGAAGUGAAAUCCUAUAGCUCAACUAUAGUAAGCUUUUAAAACUGCUCAUCUUGAGGUAUGGAAGGGAAAGUGGAAUUCCUAGUGUAGCGGUGAAAUGCGCAGAUAUUAGGAGGAAUACCGGUGGCGAAGGCGACUUUCUGGCCAUAACCUGACGCUGGGGUACGAAAGCGUGGGUAGCAAGCAGG
This 402-nucleotide ribosomal RNA is filed under the name bacterium. Its description in RNAcentral is "partial 16S ribosomal RNA". It matches the Rfam family "Bacterial small subunit ribosomal RNA", at positions 355 to 776 of the family's 1533-position model. The record is from RNAcentral.